UAAACAUACACACAAACUAGUUACAGUCUUAGGUUCCAAAGGGUGAUAGAGGCUUCUAUAAUAAGCAAGCUCUGUAAGUCCUGCAGGCCAAGCAGUUGGGGAUCCUUUGCUUAUGCUUAGAAAACUUGCCCUCCCAAAGUCCAAGCAUAUAGUUCCAGUUUCUUCUUGUCAGGGAUUUUUAUUCCCUUCCCCCAGAAUUCAAGCUGACAAUUUCACAUGGAUGACAUCUUCAUCGGUGUUGAGGUGAGUAAUUAAAGUCUUUGUUCUUUGACGGUUUCACAAUGGCUCAUUUGGUUACAAUGGUCCUUCUUGGCGGGCAGGACCUAACAUCUUCUGUAGGAAGCCAGCAUUUUACAAUUGGUGACCUGUUUGCAUCAUAAACUUCCGUAAUUGUGUAAGUAAUCAAACAUGCACUAUAACCUUAUAACAUAGGGUACAGAUGUUUUUAGUGAGAUUACUAGAUACAGCAUCCUAUAAGCAUUUCAUAAAGUCAAAACACUAAACACAUUCUUAUAAACUUAAGAUCUAUUUUAAUAAUGCUAAACACACAGCUGAGUCCAACUGGUUUCCAGUUAUGUAUUGGUCAGUGUUCAGUUGCUGUCUAGGAGCCAUGGCACAAACUGGUACUUGGUCUGCCAGCAUCACAAUGGGAAUUUGUGAUAGUGUUCUUCAACUCUGGAAGGUGAAAAGCUUUUAACAAGAUAUUGUUCCUUAAACAGAGAUUCCAGCGGUGGAUCACUUCUUGUCACUGUGGAGGCAAUCUUGUAUCUCCCGGCCUGUUCAGGUAAAACAUAACAGUAGUGUUGUCUGUGAGGACUUGAAUCACCUGAUUCCUGAUGGUGGACAUAAGCAUCUUGCAGGCCUGAUGAAUAGCUCAGUGAUUCAGCACAUUUAUAUGGAGUGAAACCUCCUGAGAUGGCCAAAAAGCCUGUUCCUGAAAUUAUCAAGAUGCCCCCCCCCCACCUUUGGUGGAUGUGUCUUAUGAGAGUCAUAGCCAGUUCUGGUUAUAGAAAGGGAAUCCCUCUGCAUACAUUUAGAGAGGGUCUAACCACCACUCGAGGGACUGAAGCACUCUUGCAGGUAUGCUAAUCAGCAUGUCCAGUGGAUGCCUGCUCAGUCAAUAUAACAAGGCCUGCAGAGCAGACAUCUGAAGUGAAUUCUAGCAUGAUGAGUCACGUACAUGUACGAGGCCCCACGGCGCAGUAGUUGUAGGUAGAAGUGAACUGUUCUCUCCAGACUGGACUUGAGAGAGAGAGAGCAAGAGACACUAUGGACUGAAAUCUGUCCAUAGGGAGGUAAGCCAUGGCAGUUGUGUCUAGGUCCACUUUUAUGAAGGUUAUUUGUUGUGCUGGUUGUAAUGUCAGUUUGUCCAUAUUUAGGUUCAAGUCUAGACAACAGAUGUCUGAUGACAAGGGUGCUGGUUUUGAUAUGGGUUCUUGAUCUUCCAUGAACUAGCCAAUUGUCCAGGUGGUAGAAGGUGGUGCAAUACCUGCCAGUCAGAAGCCUGUCGCCCAAGAAUGGGAAGAUGGUGAAGCUACCUUGUCUGAGCUAAGCUGCGCUGCUACUACUGAGAACACUUUGUGAAGACUCUGGAAGCUGUAGCUAACCCAGAUGGGAGGACCCAGUAUUGGCUGUGGUGGGAGCCCACCACAAACCUGAGGAAUCAUCUGUGGAAGGGGUGAAUAUCCACAUGAAAAUAUGCAUCUUUCAUACUGAGAGCUGUGAACCAUGUGUCUCUUUCUAGGGAUGUAUUAUUGGUGCCACUGUAAGCACAUGGAAUUUCAGUUUGCAAAUAAAAAUGUUGAGCCAACCCAA
Molecule: long non-coding RNA, 1815 nt
Organism: Trachemys scripta elegans
Lineage: Eukaryota; Metazoa; Chordata; Testudines; Emydidae
Exons: 2
Source: RefSeq, a predicted model, not a curated record